GCAAGACGGCAAAGGAGCCUCUCCAAUCUGGAAGUCGAAAGUUCUGGGCGAGGUCGACUUUUUCCGCUGACUAGGACUCAAAGGAUUGAAAUGGAUAUCAAGCUGCCCAAACGCAGAAGGAAAUAAACGUACUCGACUGCCACUGAGUAUCUUAGAGGCCUCUGGAAGGUGCCAGCAUUAGACUAAUACAUCGUAGUCGUGGAUAAAGCGCUCUCUUUCUCUCUUCUCUCUCUCCUUUUAUUCCUUUCCUCUUUUCUCUCUUUACCCCUCCCACUUACUCUCCUCUCGCUUUCUCCUUUGUGCUUUGUAAUUGAUUAGUUUUUGUUGAGAAAAAUAAAGCCUCUAGUUGCU
This is a long non-coding RNA of Phascolarctos cinereus (koala), 351 nucleotides long. RefSeq lists it as uncharacterized. The record is from RefSeq and is a predicted model, not a curated record. NCBI's taxonomy places the organism in Eukaryota, Metazoa, Chordata, Mammalia, Diprotodontia, Phascolarctidae.